Molecule: ribosomal RNA, 400 nt
Filed under: uncultured bacterium
Lineage: Bacteria
Description: bacterial SSU rRNA
Rfam family: Bacterial small subunit ribosomal RNA
Source: RNAcentral
UGGGGAAUCUUGCGCAAUGGGCGAAAGCCUGACGCAGCAACGCCGCGUGCGGGAUGAAGGCCUUCGGGUUGUAAACCGCUUUCAGCAGGGAUGAGACUGACAGUACCUGCAGAAGAAGCCCCGGCUAACUACGUGCCAGCAGCCGCGGUAAUACGUAGGGGGCAAGCGUUAUCCGGAUUUAUUGGGCGUAAAGCGCGCGUAGGUGGGUUGUUAAGCGAGAUGUGAAAACCGGGGGCUCAACCCGCGGCCUGCAUCUCGAACUGGCAGCCUUGAGUCUGGUAGAGGGAAGUGGAAUUCCGAGUGUAGCGGUGAAAUGCGCAGAUAUUCGGAAGAACACCAGUGGCGAAGGCGGCUUCCUGGGCCACGACUGACACUGAGGCGCGAAAGCUAGGGGAGCGAA